UACGAAGGGGGCUAGCGUUGCUCGGAAUGACUGGGCGUAAAGGGCGCGUAGGCGGUUCGUACAGUCAGACGUGAAAUUCCCGGGCUCAACCUGGGGGCUGCGUUUGAUACGUGCGGGCUUGAGUUCGGAAGAGGGUCGUGGAAUUCCCAGUGUAGAGGUGAAAUUCGUAGAUAUUGGGAAGAACACCGGUGGCGAAGGCGGCUAUCUGGGCGACAACUGACGCUGAGGCGCGAAAGCGUGGGGAUCAAACAGG
Molecule: ribosomal RNA, 253 nt
Filed under: uncultured bacterium
Lineage: Bacteria
Description: partial 16S ribosomal RNA
Rfam family: Bacterial small subunit ribosomal RNA
Source: RNAcentral